Amborella trichopoda is the source of this 1141-nucleotide long non-coding RNA. RefSeq lists it as uncharacterized. The record is from RefSeq and is a predicted model, not a curated record. Lineage: Eukaryota; Viridiplantae; Streptophyta; Magnoliopsida; Amborellales; Amborellaceae.
UCUCUUCUCGAACCUCUCUCCUUUUCUCUCUCUCUUCACGAACCUCCCUCUCUCUUUCUUCGCAGACCUCCCUCUCUAUAUGUUCAGCAGUAGCGAUGGAUGCGAUGCAAUAGUAGCGAUGGAUGCGAUGGAUGCGAUGGUAGUGAUGCAGCAACUAUUGAAGCCCCUAGGCUUGGGCAUCGCCUCUCUCUCUUUAUCAGCCAUUGAAGCCCUCUCAGCCCACACAGAGGGAUGAACACCUCUCUCUGUAAGUGCAGCAGCAGCAACACAUCCCUCUCUCUCUGUCUAUAUGUAGCUAUUGAAGCCCCUCAGCUUGGACAUCUCUCUCUUUUUAGUAACUAUUGAAGCCCUUUCGUCCCUCACCAUUAGCAACUAUUGAAGCCCUCUCACUCGCUCAAAAAAUCCCUGACUGGCCUCCCAACCAUAGCCCACCCCAUCUCUAAAGAUUGACUACAUUCUAGGCAAGAACCCGUGAAAGAUGAGCUAUGUUGUGGGUUUCGGAAACCACAACCCAAAACAUGUGCACCUUAGAGCAGCUUCAAUCCCUAAGAACAAGAUCAAGUACUCUUGCAAGAGUGGGUGGAAAUGGGGAGGGACACGCCCAAACCUAACCCAACCACACUUGUGGGGGCAAUGGUGGCAAGACCCGACAAGCAUGAUGGUUUCAAAGAUGUAAGAGGAAACUACAAUUACACUGAGCCCACUCUCGCUGGCAAUGCUGCUUUGGUUGCUCUCUCCGGUGAGUCACAUUCCAUCGACAAGAAUAUCAUCUUCUCUACGGUGCCACCCAUGUUCCCUUCUCCCCUGCCACCUCUAACUCCUUGGAAACCUUGAGACAGAGACAGAGAGAGAUAUAGAGGAAGAGAGCCACCACCAUCCUUUUUAGGAUGGCGGUGCUUACUUGUUCUUAAGCUAGAAAGAGAGGGGGGCUAGAGAAUGAGGAGAGGUUACAUGGGGUCUUUGAUGUUGGGGGUUUAUUUGUUCUUAAUCUAUAUUGUGUUCAUAGUUUGUAGGUACAAUAUUCUUGAUUGUUUCUCACUUUCUUUGUGCUUUUUGUGACAUAUAAAGUGAUACUAUGUAUUUGCUACUACUUUUUGACUCCCCAAAGAGGGAUACUAAUGAUAAAAGAAUUAUGAAAUUU